Molecule: unclassified non-coding RNA, 2913 nt
Filed under: Harpegnathos saltator (Jerdon's jumping ant)
Lineage: Eukaryota; Metazoa; Arthropoda; Insecta; Hymenoptera; Formicidae
Description: probable ATP-dependent RNA helicase DDX17, transcript variant X1
Source: RNAcentral
UCAUGGCGCCGUUUCUUCUGCGUCACUUAAUCGGUUACGUUGAAGUCAAUUCUUGCAGUUUCCGUAUGUGAUUUUCGCAGUCUGUUUACUGACGAGAAACGCUAUUCAGUGAAGAAUCAAAAGUUCAUCCGAACAAGGCACAGCUAUGGGCCGCUACAGAAGCCGCAGUCGCGACAGAGAUAGAAGACGCAGAUCACGCACUCGCUCGCGUAGUAGGUCACCGCGUGACAGGAGGAGUUGGGGUGGUAGCGGCGGACGUGACAGAGCCACGAGUAGUCGCAACAGCCGUGGACAACCUGGUGCUAACUUGAGAAAACCUCGAUGGGACCUCAGUCGAUUGGAACCUUUCAAGAAGGAUUUUUAUAUUCCUAACGAAGCGGUUCAGAAUCGGGAUCCACGCGUUGUCGAGCAGUACAGAAGUGAGAAGGAGAUAACACUAAGAGGCAAGAACAUACCCAAUCCUGUUUUCAAUUUUGGCGAAGCUGGUUUUCCGGAAUAUGUCCUUAAGGAAAUCACGAAACAGGGUUUUAAUGAACCUACAUCGAUCCAAGCCCAAGGAUGGCCAAUAGCAUUGAGUGGACGAGAUAUGGUAGGCAUCGCAUCUACAGGAUCUGGGAAAACACUGUCCUAUAUAUUGCCUGCUAUAGUUCACAUCAAUAGCCAGCCAAAAUUAAGUCGCAAAGAUGGACCUAUUGCGUUAGUAUUAGCACCUACACGAGAACUUGCUCAACAAAUACAGCAGGUUGCAGAUGAUUUUGGCCACUCGUCGGGCAUUAGGAACACUUGUUUAUAUGGUGGAGCGCCGAAAGGAGCACAAGCUAGAGAUCUGGACAGUGGUGUGGAAAUCGUUAUUGCCACGCCUGGUAGACUAUUAGACUUUCUCGAAUCUGGGAAAACAAAUUUAAAAAGAUGUACAUACUUGGUAUUAGAUGAAGCCGACAGAAUGUUAGAUAUGGGUUUUGAACCACAAAUCAGAAAGAUUAUAGAGCAAAUUAGACCAGACAGGCAGACCCUAAUGUGGUCUGCCACAUGGCCAAAGGAGGUGAAGAAUUUAGCUGAGGAUUUUCUUAAGGAUUAUGCUCAAAUUAAUGUCGGUUCUCUGCAGCUUGCAGCAAAUCAUAAUAUAUUGCAGAUAAUCGAUGUGUGUCAAGAUUAUGAGAAAGAGAAUAAAUUAAGCACUCUGUUGAAAGAGAUAAUGGCUGAAAGCGAGAAUAAAACGAUAGUAUUUAUUGAGACAAAGCGUAGAGUAGAUGAAAUUACGAGAAAAAUGAAACGCGACGGUUGGCCUGCUGUUUGCAUACACGGUGACAAGACACAGCAAGAACGAGAUUGGGUUUUACAAGAUUUCAGAUCAGGCAAGGCACCGAUCCUCGUUGCCACCGAUGUCGCCGCACGUGGUCUCGACGUUGAAGACGUCAAGUUUGUCAUCAAUUUUGACUACCCCUCCUGUUCCGAAGAUUAUGUCCAUCGUAUCGGUCGUACCGGCCGCAGACAGAAGACCGGCACAGCCUACACUUUCUUUACUCCCAAUAACUCCAACAAGGCUAACGACCUGAUACAAGUGUUGAAAGAGGCGAAUCAGGUGAUCAAUCCGAAGCUAUUGGAGCUCGCAGACGGUAAAGCCGGUGGAUAUGGUAGACACAGAGGUGGCAGGAACCGGUGGCGAUCGCGAGGCGGCCGCAAUGGAAAGGAGCGUAGCUACUCGAGAAGCCGAAGCCGAAGCCACAGUAGAGAACGUAACGGUCGCGGUAGCCGGAGGAGUUACAGUCGUAGUUAUACGCGAAGUCGGAGCCCAAUCAAUCGUACAGAGGUUAUCGGCAAGAGCUACUGGAGUAGCGAGAGAUGAUCUUCCAGCGGCGGAUAAGGACAAUGGCAAAGUGAUUUUUUCUUCUUUUUCACACGCAACGCGCGGCAGACGAGAACGGUGCACGACGAUUCGAGAUCAUUGUCUUGAAUUAUACAUUCACUGUUUGCGAUCGGCUAUUUAGGUCUGUCCCAUGGUGUAACCGACGAUUUGCGCAGGUCUCUUACUUCAGGGUUUCAGCUUCAGUGUAAGAGCCUACGAGAUGUAAAGUGAUUUUUUAACCGGAAUACAUCCCGAGGAGAAGAUCUCUGAUGUAUCUUCCGUCGCAACUCUCUGACUCCGAUUCUGAUGUGAUCACAACUUGUGCUGAUUUAGACACCUAAAAUUACUUUCAUGCUGAGAAAAAAUUUUUUAUCCGCGCAACAUUUUACGCUCUUUGAACGUUCUUUGAAGGGUUCGCAAACUCGCAGCGUACUUACUAAGGCCGGUCAUUCACGCGCUACGUUUCGGUAUGCACCAGUGCGUAUAAAGCAUAUUCAAUCGGAUUUAGGUGAAUUUACUUCUCACGACACAGAAGUAUUUGUAAGAACGCUAAAAUGUACUUGGACGAAUUUAACUUGACAUUGACAGUCGUGACUUAUCAUUCACGGAAACGGUGACAAUGUAUGACUUACAGCGCAAUAGUGUAUGCUUACCUAAUCAUUUACUUCCUUCGCGUCUGCCUUCCCCUCCAGUUCUCCAUGUUUAAUUUCUCCCCCUUGCGCGCAUAUUCACGGUACACCGAUUUAGAUUAGACAAUAUAAGAUAUACAAUUGCAAUACGGACUACCAUUUCUAUGUUUUUAUAACUCUUCUCACACUCUUCUCACACUAUUUAGCAGUAAAGGGAAAGAGACGGUGUCGCGGUGCAAGCAAGCGUAUAUGAAAUCCUUAUGAGAUGUAAACUUCCAGAAAUGUGUGUAGCGUUAUUCGCGAGCGAAAUCGACUGUACUCGUAGAUCGUAAUAAAUUAUAGGCGUUUAGCGCUUAUUUGUAAUACAUCCCAGUGUAUUUAGGCGACUUGCAACAAAUAAAAUUCAAUGUACAGUAUUUCUCGGACGUGACAAAUAAA